Molecule: ribosomal RNA, 253 nt
Filed under: uncultured bacterium
Lineage: Bacteria
Description: partial 16S ribosomal RNA
Rfam family: Bacterial small subunit ribosomal RNA
Source: RNAcentral
UACGGAGGGGGCAAGCGUUGUUCGGAAUUACUGGGCGUAAAGGGCGCGUAGGCUAUUUAGUAAGUUGAAAGUGAAAUCCUUGGGCUUAACCCAAGAACUGCUUUCAAAACUGCUAAGUUAGAGAUUGAUAGAGGGUGAUGGAAUUCCUAGUGUAGAGGUGAAAUUCUUAGAUAUUAGGAGGAACACCAGAGGCGAAAGCGAUCACCUGGGUCACAUCUGACGCUGAGGCGCGAAAGCGUGGGGAGCAAACAGG